AUUGAACGCUGGCGGCAUGCCUUACACAUGCAAGUCGAACGGCAGCACGGGAGCAAUCCUGGUGGCGAGUGGCGAACGGGUGAGUAAAGUAUCGGAACGUGCCCAGUCGUGGGGGAUAACGUAGCGAAAGUUACGCUAAUACCGCAUACGAUCUAUGGAUGAAAGCGGGGGAUCGCAAGACCGCGCGCGAUUGGAGCGGCCGAAAUCAGAUUAGGUAGUUGGUGGGGGAAAGGCCCACCAAGCCGACGAGCUGUAGCUGGUCUGAGAGGACGACCAGCCACACUGGGACUGAGACACGGCCCAGACUCCUACGGGAGGCAGCAGUGGAGAAUUUUGGACAAUGGGCGAAAGCCUGAUCCAGCCAUGCCGCGUGCAGGAUGAAGGCCUUCGGGUUGUAAACUGCUUUUGUACGGAACGAAAAGGUUUGGCCUAAUAAGCUGAGCUCAUGACGGUACCGUAAGAAUAAGCACCGGCUAACUACGUGCCAGCAGCCGCGGUAA
This 500-nucleotide ribosomal RNA is filed under the name uncultured bacterium. RNAcentral's name for it is "partial 16S ribosomal RNA". It matches the Rfam family "Bacterial small subunit ribosomal RNA", at positions 29 to 523 of the family's 1533-position model. The record is from RNAcentral.